RNAcentral lists this transfer RNA (75 nucleotides) under Verrucomicrobiaceae bacterium. RNAcentral describes it as "tRNA-Gly". It matches the Rfam family "tRNA". Rfam says of the family: Transfer RNA (tRNA) molecules are approximately 80 nucleotides in length. Their secondary structure includes four short double-helical elements and three loops (D, anti-codon, and T loops). Further hydrogen bonds mediate the characteristic L-shaped molecular structure. tRNAs have two regions of fundamental functional importance: the anti-codon, which is responsible for specific mRNA codon recognition, and the 3' end, to which the tRNAs corresponding amino acid is attached (by aminoacyl-tRNA synthetases). tRNAs cope with the degeneracy of the genetic code in two manners: having more than one tRNA (with a specific anti-codon) for a particular amino acid; and 'wobble' base-pairing, i.e. permitting non-standard base-pairing at the 3rd anti-codon position. Lineage: Bacteria; Pseudomonadati; Verrucomicrobiota; Verrucomicrobiia; Verrucomicrobiales; Verrucomicrobiaceae. The record is from RNAcentral.
GCGGGAGUAACUCAGCGGUAGAGUACCUCGUUGCCAACGAGGCUGUCGUCGGUUCGAUCCCGAUCUCCCGCUCCA